This 427-nucleotide ribosomal RNA is filed under the name uncultured bacterium. Its description in RNAcentral is "partial 16S ribosomal RNA". It matches the Rfam family "Bacterial small subunit ribosomal RNA", at positions 354 to 796 of the family's 1533-position model. The record is from RNAcentral.
GUGAGGAAUCUUCCACAAUGGGCGAAAGCCUGAUGGAGCAACGCCGCGUGAAGGAUGAAGGUCUUCGGAUUGUAAACUUCUUUUAUGAGUGAAGAAUAUGACGGUAACUCAUGAAUAAGCACCGGCUAACUACGUGCCAGCAGCCGCGGUCAUACGUAGGGUGCAAGCAUUAUCCGGAGUGACUGGGCGUAAAGAGUUGCGUAGGCGGUUAUGUAAGCGAAUAGUGAAACCUGGUGGCUCAACCACACAGACUAUUAUUCGAACUGCAUAACUCGAGAAUGGUAGAGGUAACUGGAAUUUCUUGUGUAGGAGUGAAAUCCGUAGAUAUAAGAAGGAACACCAAUGGCAUAGGCAGGUUACUGGGCCAUUUCUGACGCUAAGGCACGAAAGCGUGGGGAGCGAACCGGAUUAGAUACCCGAGUAGUCC